Molecule: ribosomal RNA, 492 nt
Filed under: uncultured bacterium
Lineage: Bacteria
Description: partial 16S ribosomal RNA
Rfam family: Bacterial small subunit ribosomal RNA
Source: RNAcentral
AGUGAACGCUGGCGGUAGGCCUAACACAUGCAAGUCGAACGGCAGCACAGUAAGAGCUUGCUCUUACGGGUGGCGAGUGGCGGACGGGUGAGGAAUACAUCGGAAUCUACUUUUUCGUGGGGGAUAACGUAGGGAAACUUACGCUAAUACCGCAUACGACCUACGGGUGAAAGCAGGGGAUCUUCGGACCUUGCGCGAUUGAAUGAGCCGAUGUCGGAUUGGCUAGUUGGCGGGGUAAAGGCCCACCAAGGCGACGAUCCGUAGCUGGUCUGAGAGGAUGAUCAGCCACACUGGAAAUGAGACACGGUCCAGACUCCUACGGGAGGCAGCAGUGGGGAAUAUUGGACAAUGGGCGCAAGCCUGAUCCAGCCAUACCGCGUGGGUGAAGAAGGCCUUCGGGUUGUAAAGACCUUUUGUUGGGAAAGAAAAGCAGCAGGUUAAUACCCCGCUGUUCUGACGGUACCCAAAGAAUAAGCACCGGCUAACUUCGUG